AUCCCGGCCAUCGAGCUUGAAUUGGCUUUUUAUGUAACCAUCUAAUGGAACUGGUUUUGACAGCGGCCCCAUGACAUCAGGACUGGUUACUAGUCCGUGUGGACAUAUGCAAAGUGGGUGUCGUUUGUGUGUGUGUGUGUGUGUGAAGACUCUUCAGGCCUUGUUUGGAUGUUGUCGGAUUCACCUCAAUCCACAUGUGUUGGAGUGUAUUGGGGUGAAAUUUAGUUCAAGUUUCACUCCAAUCCACUCCAAUACAUGUGGAUUGAUGCGAAUCCGACUACAUCCAAACAAGGCCUCAGGUGGUUUAUUAGAGCAGCGUUGCGCUGAACUUCAUGGAUGUCUCUGUACAGCGGCAGCGUGUUUAUAUAGUACAAAAAUGGAGAUAGGGUUAGCAGUUAGCAACUUAGCAUAGAAACUAGUGAGGUCCAAGUCCAAUCACCAUUUGUUAAUUACUUAAUUUGUUGUCUUAUUGGUCCUUCAUACUCACUGGAUCAUAUAUAUAACUUAGUUAUAUAUAGAUUUUAGAUCCAGCCGCCUCUAGAUAAAAAAUGUCCAAUUUGUAGAGGCGUUUGUUUUGGAAAGUAUUUUUAGAGGCAAUUUUAGAUUGAACUACUACCUCUAAAAAGGAUGUGUCUCUACAAGUGAGUUUUUUUAGAAUUUCUACAAAUCUUUUUUGUAUAGUAGAUGGUUUGGUGAAGCGGAUAUUAUAUAGAUCUAAUUUCUAAUAUUCUGAAUUCAAUGGAUCAUAUGGAAGGAAGUAGAUCAGUAGAAGAUCUAGUUAUUGUUAACGUUAAUGCAAAACUGAAUGUUCUCGAACCUUGAAAAACAGGCCAGCUUCUAACGUUGUUGACCAAGAUAGUAAAAUUGUAAUUCAGCCAUCUCGAGCCUAAUCUAGAGUGAAACCAGAACUAGCAAAGAAAAUUCAAAGCCUCCCGAAAAGAUCAGUCUACAUCUAGCUAGUACUCCUAUACUCGGGAGGGAACAACAAAAAUAGGAUUCGCAUGAUCGAUUGUGUUUAAAUCGGUCAGUAUACUAAAGCAAAGCCGAAGUUGUUAAAGCCAAAAACAAUACAUAAAACAUGAGAUACUGGUGUUUAUAAAAACAUAGAAGCCAAAUGCACAAUGCAUCAAAAGAAGAAGUCAAAGUUUAAUGGUAGGAAGCUUCCGGUUAAAUUGUCAACAAAAACCAAAGAAUAACCAAGAUAUAUACUAGUCAGUCUAACACAAAUCCAAACAUUCUAAAUGUACCAAGAAAAAAAGGUAACAAUAAACAUGCGGGCCCUUUCCUUUAUUUACUUCACGGUCUUAUUCUUUACUACAUAAUAAGGGGUGCAUCAGCAUGGCAUGCAUGCACACGCUACCACAAGUACAUGCGUACGUGUACAAUGCAUACAUAGUAGUAGGACCGUGCAGUCGUACGUGCACACACUCACACACGUACACAUACUACGUGAGAUGAUGCAUGCAUUCAGCCUUACGUAUAUAUAGCGCCCAGUGUGUCAGGCAGGGGCGCAGAGAGAGCCCUGACGAUGAUGGCAAUACGUGAUGAUGCGUGCUCAAGCGUAGUACUGGCCGGUGCACGAGUCGUAGCGCUUGCUCUCGCAGGCGUCGUACAGGCGGCGCCCACCGUGGCCAUGCCCGUGCACCUGGUGCUGCUCACGGUGUUCUUCCCCGAGCCCGAGGUAGCCACCAUGGCAUGAUCCCUCGUGCUCGGCAUGGACGACGUGGCGGUGCUGGUGGCCGCUGCCGCUGUGGCCGUGGCCGUAGUGAUGUCCUCUGCCGGCGCGCGCCAACUCGUCUACCUCCUCGUACUCCUUGCGGACGACGGCGUAGCGCUCGCCGCCGCCCUCACCGUGGCAGAACCCCGGCUCGGCGUACGGCCUCCUCGCCUCCUCCGCGCAGUAGCCGGACUCCGAGUAGUACGCCAUACUGCUGCUCUACUCAGUGGCUUUUGUUUGCUGAAACCUGACUGAUGCAGGAUAUACAUGGACAGGCCCCUGCUUU
This 2003-nucleotide long non-coding RNA is filed under the name Sorghum bicolor (sorghum). RNAcentral's name for it is "long non-coding RNA (SBIC_LNC005837)". The stretch from base 171 to 279 matches the Rfam family "MIR5565 microRNA precursor family". Lineage: Eukaryota; Viridiplantae; Streptophyta; Magnoliopsida; Poales; Poaceae. The record is from RNAcentral.